This is a non-coding RNA of Xiphophorus hellerii (green swordtail), 536 nucleotides long. NCBI's taxonomy places the organism in Eukaryota, Metazoa, Chordata, Actinopteri, Cyprinodontiformes, Poeciliidae. The record is from the annotation of a RefSeq genome assembly.
AUCCGAUCCCCUUCAACAGCAACAUGUCCUCUGUAACUCUGCUGCUGCUGCUGGCUGCUGCAUCCUGUGUGAAGUGUGAACAGCUGACCCAGCCAACUUCUCAAACUGUGCAGCCAGGUCAAAGUCUGACCAUCAGCUGUCAGGUUUCUUAUUCUCCGGGCAGCUACUACACAGCUUGGAUCAGACAGCCUGCAGGGAAAGGACUGGAGUGGAUUGGGAUGGAACGCAUUGGAUAUACCAAAUACUACAAAGAUUCACUGAAGAACAAGUUCAGCAUCAGUUUGGAUGGCUCCAGUAAAACAGUGACUCUGAACGGACAGAAUAUGCAGCCUGAUGAUUCUGCUGUGUAUUACUGUGCCAGAGCCACAACUUGCUCUAAUGCUGUCAGCUGCAGGAGAAGAGAAACUCCCAUCACCUUCAACACCAACAUGUUCUCUGUAGCUCUGCUGCUGCUGCUGGCUGCUACUGCUGCAUCCUCUACUAUGCAGCUUGGAUCAGACAACCUGCUGGAAAAGGACUGGAGUGGAUUGGGAUGA